GACGAACGCUGGCGGCGUGCUUAACACAUGCAAGUCGAACGGAAAGGCCCUGCUUUUGUGGGGUGCUCGAGUGGCGAACGGGUGAGUAACACGUGAGUAACCUGCCCUUGACUUUGGGAUAACUUCAGGAAACUGGGGCUAAUACCGGAUAGGAGCUCCUGCUGCAUGGUGGGGGUUGGAAAGUUUCGGCGGUUGGGGAUGGACUCGCGGCUUAUCAGCUUGUUGGUGGGGUAGUGGCUUACCAAGGCUUUGACGGGUAGCCGGCCUGAGAGGGUGACCGGCCACAUUGGGACUGCGCUACGGCCCAGACUCCUACGGGAGGCAGCAGUGGGGAAUAUUGCACAAUGGGCGGAAGCCUGAUGCAGCAACGCCGCGUGCGGGAUGACGGCCUUCGGGUUGUAAACCGCUUUCGCCUGUGACGAAGCGUGAGUGACGGUAAUGGGUAAAGAAGCACCGGCUAACUACGUG
Molecule: ribosomal RNA, 468 nt
Filed under: uncultured bacterium
Lineage: Bacteria
Description: partial 16S ribosomal RNA
Rfam family: Bacterial small subunit ribosomal RNA
Source: RNAcentral